RNAcentral lists this ribosomal RNA (274 nucleotides) under uncultured bacterium. Its description in RNAcentral is "partial 16S ribosomal RNA". It matches the Rfam family "Bacterial small subunit ribosomal RNA", at positions 523 to 796 of the family's 1533-position model. The record is from RNAcentral.
AUACGGAGGGUGCAAGCGUUAAUCGGAAUUACUGGGCGUAAAGCGCGCGUAGGUGGUUUUGUAAGUCGGAUGUGAAAGCCCAGGGCUCAACCUUGGAAUUGCAUUCGAAACUGCAUGACUAGAGUAUGGUAGAGGGAAGUGGAAUUCCAGGUGUAGCGGUGAAAUGCGUAGAUAUCUGGAGGAACAUCAGUGGCGAAGGCGACUUCCUGGACCAAUACUGACGCUGAGGUGCGAAAGCGUGGGGAGCAAACAGGAUUAGAAACCCUAGUAGUCC